Molecule: small nuclear RNA, 105 nt
Organism: Hevea brasiliensis (rubber tree)
Lineage: Eukaryota; Viridiplantae; Streptophyta; Magnoliopsida; Malpighiales; Euphorbiaceae
Source: RefSeq, a predicted model, not a curated record
CAGAAUAUAGGGACUGGUUGCUUCGCUUAGGAUAGAAGAGGCAAAGAUUAGCAUGGUCCCUGCGUAAGGAUGGCACACACAAAUCGAGAAAUGGUCCAAAUUUUC